This 547-nucleotide ribosomal RNA is filed under the name uncultured bacterium. RNAcentral's name for it is "bacterial SSU rRNA". It matches the Rfam family "Bacterial small subunit ribosomal RNA", at positions 355 to 896 of the family's 1533-position model. The record is from RNAcentral.
UAGGGAAUCUUCGGCAAUGGACGGAAGUCUGACCGAGCAACGCCGCGUGAGUGAAGAAGGUUUUCGGAUCGUAAAGCUCUGUUGUAAGAGAAGAACGAGUGUGAGAGUGGAAAGUUCACACUGUGACGGUAUCUUACCAGAAAGGGACGGCUAACUACGUGCCAGCAGCCGCGGUAAUACGUAGGUCCCGAGCGUUGUCCGGAUUUAUUGGGCGUAAAGCGAGCGCAGGCGGUUAGAUAAGUCUGAAGUUAAAGGCUGUGGCUUAACCAUAGUACGCUUUGGAAACUGUUUAACUUGAGUGCAAGAGGGGAGAGUGGAAUUCCAUGUGUAGCGGUGAAAUGCGUAGAUAUAUGGAGGAACACCGGUGGCGAAAGCGGCUCUCUGGCUUGUAACUGACGCUGAGGCUCGAAAGCGUGGGGAGCAAACAGGAUUAGAUACCCUGGUAGUCCACGCUGUAAACGAUGUCGAUUUGGGGAUUGGGCUUUGAGCUUGGUGCCCGUAGCUAACGUGAUAAAUCGACCGCCUGGGGAGUACGGCCGCAAGGUUA